CCUACGGGUGGCAGCAGUGAGGAAUAUUGGUCAAUGGCCGCAAGCCUGAACCAGCCAAGUCGCGUGAGGGACGACGGUCCUAUGGAUUGUAAACCUCUUUUAUCCGGGAGCAAAAGACGCCACGUGUGGCGUUUCGAGAGUACCCGAUGAAUAAGCACCGGCUAAAUCCGUGCCAGCAGCCGCGGUAAUACGGAGGAUCCGAGCGUUAUCCGGAUUUAUUGGGGUUAAAGGGUGCGUAGGCGGAAUGUGAAGCGUGCCGGUAAAUUUAGGGGGUCAACCCUUGUGGUGCGGUUGAAACUGGUGAUCUUGAGUGAGCGAGAGGUAGGCGGAAUGCGUGGUGUAGCGGUGAAAUGCUUAGAUAUCACGAAGAACACCGAUUGCGAAGGCAGCAUACCGGAGCGUAACUGACGCUGAGGCUCGAAAGUGUGGGUAUCGAACAGGAUUAGAUACCCGUGUAGUC
Molecule: ribosomal RNA, 460 nt
Filed under: uncultured bacterium
Lineage: Bacteria
Description: partial 16S ribosomal RNA
Rfam family: Bacterial small subunit ribosomal RNA
Source: RNAcentral